AGCUGAUGCACAUGACGGUCUUCUCCCAGUGCCGUCGCAGCAGCUGUUCCCCUCUGGAGGUUUUAGACCUUCACACUUAAAGGCCCCAAGUUUACUUGUGGGCCUCUUUU
RNAcentral lists this small RNA (110 nucleotides) under Xaviernesmea oryzae. RNAcentral's name for it is "Rhizobium oryzae Alphaproteobacterial ar15". It matches the Rfam family "Alphaproteobacterial ar15". Lineage: Bacteria; Pseudomonadati; Pseudomonadota; Alphaproteobacteria; Hyphomicrobiales; Rhizobiaceae. The record is from Rfam by way of RNAcentral.